RNAcentral lists this ribosomal RNA (459 nucleotides) under uncultured bacterium. Its description in RNAcentral is "partial 16S ribosomal RNA". It matches the Rfam family "Bacterial small subunit ribosomal RNA", at positions 338 to 795 of the family's 1533-position model. The record is from RNAcentral.
CCUACGGGUGGCAGCAGUGAGGAAUAUUGGUCAAUGGACGAGAGUCUGAACCAGCCAAGUAGCGUGAAGGAUGACUGCCCUAUGGGUUGUAAACUUCUUUUAUAAAGGAAUAAAACGAGGCACGUGUGCCUUUUUGCAUGUACUUUAUGAAUAAGGAUCGGCUAACUCGUGCCAGCAGCCGCGGUAAUACGGAGGAUCCGAGCGUUAUCCGGAUUUAUUGGGUUUAAAGGGAGCGUAGAUGGGUUGUUAAGUCAGUUGUGAAAGUUUGCGGGUCAACCGUAAAAUUGCAAUUGAUACUGGCAGUCGUGAGUGCAGUUGAGGUAAGCGGAAUUCGUGGUGUAGCGGUGAAAUGCUUAGAUAUCACGAAGAACCCCGAUUGCGAAGGCAGCUUACUAAACUGUGACUGACAUUGAUGCUCGAAAGUGUGGGUAUCAAACAGGAUUAGAUACCCCAGUAGUC